UACGAAGGGGGCUAGCGUUGUUCGGAAUUACUGGGCGUAAAGCGCACGUAGGCGGACUAUUAAGUCAGGGGUGAAAUCCCGGGGCUCAACCCCGGAACUGCCUUUGAUACUGGUAGUCUUGAGUUCGAGAGAGGUGAGUGGAAUUCCGAGUGUAGAGGUGAAAUUCGUAGAUAUUCGGAGGAACACCAGUGGCGAAGGCGGCUCACUGGCUCGAUACUGACGCUGAGGUGCGAAAGCGUGGGGAGCAAACAGG
RNAcentral lists this ribosomal RNA (253 nucleotides) under uncultured bacterium. Its description in RNAcentral is "partial 16S ribosomal RNA". It matches the Rfam family "Bacterial small subunit ribosomal RNA", at positions 524 to 776 of the family's 1533-position model. The record is from RNAcentral.